GUUUAUUCUGUGCUGCAGAGGACAGGUUCGUGCUGUGCCAGGCCAGCCUUGCUUUGGCAGCGUGGGAGCUGGAGGUGGCUGUAGUUUGAGGAGCAGCUAAUCAGAGCCGAGUCACUUGUUGAAGCAGGAGGGUAAGGAGUUAUUGGAAAUUGCAAAGAAGAGCACUGAAAACCAGACGGAGUCUUGGGGACGUGAAAUCUGCGUUAGAAAACCAUGCCCGAACUCAUCUGUGCAGCAUGCAGGGCCACACGUUAUGCAGCAUUGACCCCCAAGAUGCUGAACAGUGGCAGGUAGGAAGAGGCGAAAGUCUAGUUGGCUGAGACAUGUGAAGGU
This is a long non-coding RNA of Chroicocephalus ridibundus (black-headed gull), 333 nucleotides long. RefSeq lists it as uncharacterized. The record is from RefSeq and is a predicted model, not a curated record. Lineage: Eukaryota; Metazoa; Chordata; Aves; Charadriiformes; Laridae. The transcript is spliced from 3 exons.